This 468-nucleotide ribosomal RNA is filed under the name uncultured bacterium. RNAcentral describes it as "partial 16S ribosomal RNA". It matches the Rfam family "Bacterial small subunit ribosomal RNA", at positions 28 to 507 of the family's 1533-position model. The record is from RNAcentral.
GACGAACGCUGGCUGCGUGCUUAACACAUGCAAGUCGAACGGAAAGGCCCUGCUUUUGUUGGGUGCUCGAGUGGCGAACGGGUGAGUAACACGUGAGUAACCUUCCCUUGACUUUGGGAUAACUUCAGGAAACUGGGGCUAAUACCCGAUAGGAGCUCCUGCUGCAUGGUGGGGGUUGGAAAGUUUCGGCGGUUGGGGAUGGACUCGCGGCUUAUCAGCUUGUUGGUGGGGUAGUGGCUUACCAAGGCUUUGACGGGUAGCCGGCCUGAGAGGGUGACCGGCAACAUUGGGACUGAGAUACGGCCCAGACUCCUAAGGGAGGCAGCAGUGGGGAAUAGUGCACAAUGGGCGGAAGCCUGAUGCAGCAACGCCGCGUGCGGGAUGACAGCCUUCGGGUUGUAAACCGCUUUCGCCGGUGACGAAGAGUGAGUGAAGGUAAUGGGUAAAGAAGCACCGGCUAACUACGUG